This is a long non-coding RNA of Oncorhynchus tshawytscha (Chinook salmon), 632 nucleotides long. The record is from Ensembl. Lineage: Eukaryota; Metazoa; Chordata; Actinopteri; Salmoniformes; Salmonidae.
CCUGGAAACAGGAGAGAAAAUGGCUCAAACCUCCUACUUCUCCCCAGUGGAGUUACAUAUUAAUGAAUGUGUAUGCGGAAUAUGAGUAUAUAUUUAAGAAAAAAACAAUACAGUAGCAGCAGAAAAAGAAUGUGAGCUGGUGUGGCAGAAAAUUGCUGACCGAGUCAAUGCAUUUGACCUCCAUUAUAGCCAAUACAAAAAAGGCUGAGGGACGAAAAACCGGUGGGGGCCCCCAAUCAGAACAGUAGGUGACCUAUUGCUGAAGGCGUCUCUGGAGGAAGCUCAUCUGACCCAACCACCCCCCAGAAAGGCCUACAUAAAAGGAGGAUGAUGAAGACACCUUGUCAGCUGCAACAAAGAGGGGGAAAAUACAAGCAAUUCUGUAAAUUACAAUGAGGAAGAGGGUCCAUCCACCUCCACGGUUCAACUUACCUCACUCCGUGUGAAACCACUGCAAGGUGUACUUAAGAGAAACAAAUUGAAAAAUGAAAUCUAGAAAUUGACCAAGGCUGCAGAAGCAAAAGAUAAAAAUAGAAAUACAACUGCUGGAAAAUCAGUUUUUAUGUUUGAACAACAUAAAAAAGAUUAACUACUGUCCUGCAUUUGUACUUGCAGAAAAUAAAGAAGACUUC